GACGAACGCUGGCGGCGUGCUUAACACAUGCCAGUCGAACGGGCCCGCUCUCUUUUUUGGGGGUGGGUUGAGUGGCGAACGGGUGAGUAUCACGUGAGUAACCUGCCCCCUGCUCCUGGAUAACUGCUUGAAAGGGCGGCUAAUACGGGGUGUGCCGGCUGGUCCGCAUGGGCCUGGUCGGGAUAGUUUCAUCUUCGGGUGUUUCGGUGGGGGAUGGGCUCGCGGCCUAUCAGCUUGUUGGUGGGGUGAUGGCCCACCAAGGCGGUGACGGGUAGCCGGCCUGAGAGGGUGGGCGGCCAGGCUGGGACUGAGACACGGCCCAGACUCCUGCAGGAGGCAGCAGUGGGGGGUAUUGCACAAUGGGCGGAAGCCUGAUGCAGCGACGGCGCGUGAGGGAUGGAGGCCUUCGGGUUGUGAACCUCUUUCUCCGGUGGUGAAGGCCCUGUCCGUUGCGGCGGGGUUGACGGUAGCCGGGUAUGAAGCGCCGGCUAACUACGUG
RNAcentral lists this ribosomal RNA (499 nucleotides) under uncultured bacterium. RNAcentral describes it as "partial 16S ribosomal RNA". It matches the Rfam family "Bacterial small subunit ribosomal RNA", at positions 28 to 507 of the family's 1533-position model. The record is from RNAcentral.